Molecule: ribosomal RNA, 309 nt
Filed under: uncultured eukaryote
Lineage: Eukaryota
Description: partial 18S ribosomal RNA
Rfam family: Eukaryotic small subunit ribosomal RNA
Source: RNAcentral
CCCUUAGAUGUUCUGGGCGGCCCGCGCACUACAUUGGCACUAGCAAAGAGAUCCUAGAUUGAAUUCUUUGGGGUAUUCUUCUAAAUGGUGUCGCGACUGGGAUAAAUCCUUGUAAUUAUUGGUUUUGAACGAGGAAUUCCUUGUAAUCGCGGUUUAUCAGCUCGCGUUGAAUGCGUCCCUGCCCUUUGUACACACCGCCCGUCGCUCCUACCGAUGGAUCGUCCGGUGAAGCUCACGGAGUGACUGUUCACGCAACGGUUUACGAAGUGAAAUGGACCUCACGAUUUAGAGGAAGGAGAAGUCGUAACA